Long non-coding RNA from Gossypium arboreum, 535 nucleotides. RefSeq lists it as uncharacterized. The transcript has 3 exons. NCBI's taxonomy places the organism in Eukaryota, Viridiplantae, Streptophyta, Magnoliopsida, Malvales, Malvaceae. The record is from RefSeq and is a predicted model, not a curated record.
AAAAAUGGUCAUCUUCUCAAUUAGUUUCUGCCGAUUUUUUCUCUCCUCCAUAGCUGGGGUUUCUUCAACUUUCAAGCCUCAUAAUCAAGAAGAACGAAAUUCGGGAGUAGAUCAGGGAAAAGAAAAAGUAAAGGACUAAAUUGUAAAGUUUAGUCACAUUUUGUAUCAAGUACUUAUCUAGCCACUCGGGGAUCGAAGGAAACGUCGGAGGCCGAUCACACUAUCAAAGAAAUAACUCGGUAUAAUUAGACGUUUUGUUUUGGGUAUGGCAUGUAUAGAAACUUAGCUACUUUUGGUAUAAUAUGAACAAUGAAUGAUGUGUAAAUACUUGCUAGUGAUUAGCUAACAAAAUGGCCGAUGAUAUACAUGUUUAUUAAUAUGUAUGAUUGAAUGGUGAUUAUCACAUGAAAAUUAUGAAAAAUGUGAAAGUAACCUAAAAACAGAUUCAAGUAACAGAAAUGACGUAACUUUGAAAAAUCACUAAAAAUUGUAGAAACAUAGUUUGAAGAUGAAUAAUAUAUGAAAUUAAAUCUUA